GGGAGCGCGCCCGGCGCGCCCCCCGCGCGCCGCGCCCCGCCCCUCCGCGCGCCCGCCCCGCCGGGUCCAGCACCGCGGACAGCGGCCUCGCUCCGGGAGACCCCCCGUGCACUCACUCGUUUAUUUAUUCAUUUAUUCAUUCAUUUAUUUACUUCAGGAUGCAGCCACCUCACAAGCGCACCUGAAGAGCAAAUUUUGUUUUGUUUAGUUUUGUUUUGUUUCAGCUGCUGUACCCAAACCACAGACGUUAAUAUGCAGGAAGAGUUAAAGCCGUUCUGAUACUUCAUUUCCAUGCAUAAUGGGGAUUUUUUUUUCUUUUCUUUUUUUUUUUUCCCUUUCCAAGAUGGGUUCCAGCUGUAUUAGCUAGACAUGCUAUUUACUGCAAGCUAAAUUUAACAUUUCUCAGUUUGGCACGAAGUCUGUUGCUGUGCACCACACAGACACACACACAUUUUAUAGAAGAAAAGGCAGUGCAGCAUUCCUGUGACCAUGACAAUGAAUUUGCUACUAAGUAAUGAUUUUCUGGCAUAUUUUUUAUUAACUUAUAUUUAGUUAACAAUGCUGGGAAAUAUCCACAUAGGAAAGGAUACUGAUCUUGCAAUUAAUUACCUUUCCUAUUUUUUUUUCCUUUUUAUUUUUAUUACUAUUAUUAAUUUUUUCUUCAUUCUCUUUUCCAGGAGGAGGGUGUCAAAGCUUCAGGUAUUCAGAUGUCAAUACGAGUACAUAUCCUGAACACAUAGGAAGUUGAAUUGUGAGCAUUUACAUAUGUGAAUGUACUACUCCAAAUUUGUAUCAUCACAUCAGAACAUGUAGGAAAAAAGAGUCAGACUAUGUGGCCAUAUUCCACUGUUGGUGUGACAGGGAAAAAUAGAAGAUUUCAACUGAUAUGAGUAAGUAAAAAAGGACAGCAUGGGCGAGUCAAUCACCAAGGAAACAGUUCAAUCAGAAUUUAGUAAUAGUGAAAAGUGUCGAUAAUAAAAAAAGUCUUCUUCAACUCUCUAUUUUUUAUAACAAUCCUAUGCUAAUUGAAAAGAUGCAAUUGGGCAAAGGAGAAAAAAGAAAUUUAUAGGUGAUAGUAAUUUAUGACCAUGUACUAAGAAUAGAUAUGCUCAUUAUCACUGUGCAUGAGAAAAUCAGACUACAUUACUGGGAACCACAUUCAAUACUUUUUUCUCAAGGGAAAAGAAUCUUGCAAGACGUAAGUAAAGAUUCUGUUCUUAAAAACAGAAGAUUAUAUUCUUAUAUGCAUUCUUCUGAAUCUAUGAAAGGAGCUCAUAUAAAAAUGCAUUAAUUCAGAAUGUGAACAAAGCAUCAGUGGGGAGACUUUUAAUAAUAAGCAUCCAUCACUUGUUGAAAGGAACAUAGCAGUGCAAUAAUAAUGAAAACAAUGGCAGAUGACAGAAGUCCAGAUAUCAAAUAAUAAGAUGUCAGACCCCUGAAAAGCCGAAGUGCUUAAUCUUGAUUCCAUAGAACUCCAAGAGAGGUUUGCUACUUACUGCAAAGAAUCAUGGCUAUACUUGAUUUAACAAUUUAAUAUUGUCUAAUGGAUAUUCUGAAUGUAAGGUAGAAGUUGGUGAGAAAGUUGAAAAGAGCUGAUAUAUGUGCUAAUCAGAAGUAUAAUUUAUCAGGAAUACAUUUCCUCUGCAAUUCAUUCUGGCACAAUCCUGGUUGAGACAGUGGCUGCAGCUCAACUAAAUGUUCAUAUGUUUCAUCAGUUGAAUACAAGAUGCAGAAAGAAACUUGGAAAAGACUGAAGAACUGAAAAAUUUUGCCUUGUGCUCAGAAACAUUUAGCGAUCACUCCAUAUACUUUCCAAAAAAUAGUUCAGGAAUGGCUUGAUGACAUGGAUACAUGCUUCAGGAAAGCCACUUAGACAAUAUAAAAUGCUUGAGGAGAUGGAUGGAGUAAAAAACUGAGUUGUUCAAUGCUGACAUUGAUCACAUUCCAAUUAGAAAUAAAAUUUAUCUUUUGUUUUGCUGUUUUAAUAAUGUGUCAUUGACCUUGCAGCCACAUGCUGAGCAGUUUAAUGAAAACAGUCAAAAUCAGGUUCUUCUAAAAAUCCUAGCUGAAAAAAGUUAAAUUCUGAGAAAGUCCUUGGCAAGAGCUCAGACUAAAUAGUUAUAGUAGGCUUUCUGGAUUUUUAUCAUAUAAAUUUUUGGGGUUUAUAUUCACAACUAUUUUCUAUAUCUUCUUCUUUAUCAAAAAAUCUUAAAAUGUGCAGAUUCAUUAGGAUGCAAAAAUGAUGUACCAACAUAUGAAUCCUUUGAUUCCAUGGGUUAUCAAUAAAUACUUCCCUUCAAUAAAGAUUAUUGUCUUUGGAUUUUUGAGAUCUGCAGAACUUUUUCAAAUACCAGUAGGCGUAAAUGAAGAGGAAACACAAAUGAAGGUUCCAAAUCUAUUUUGAAGUGUGCAGUCCCAUAUGUUCACUCUGGAUCUCCAGAGUCUUUUUAAAAAUAAAAAGUAUGUCCUGAUCUUU
This is a long non-coding RNA of Passer domesticus (house sparrow), 2476 nucleotides long. RefSeq lists it as uncharacterized. NCBI's taxonomy places the organism in Eukaryota, Metazoa, Chordata, Aves, Passeriformes, Passeridae. The transcript is spliced from 2 exons. The record is from RefSeq and is a predicted model, not a curated record.